AAAUGGAAAGGAAUAUAAAAGAAAUACAACAGUGUUUCCACACCAAACCGAAAUUAAUGCAAUAGCUGCAUCAACCAUCAUGGAGUAUUACAGUAGAAAAACAAGCUCAACUACAAGAGAAAAACCAUCCAUGGAAAGAAAAGGUGAGGCAUACAUGGAUUAUUUCGCAUCCAAAAACCAUAAUAUAGGCUACUUGUUCGUCAUUUUCUCCCUGACACUUUUCAGAUGGAGGAGCAUCUUAUCAUAGUCGGGAAUGUUUUCUUUAAUCAGAGGAACUUCAAUGAAAUUCUGGGCCCAAGCAUGCAAUCGAGGCAGUGUGCUUGGUUCAAGAACUUUCACACCCGCUGCUUCUUCAAUGGCUGCAAACCAAUAAGCGAAGAGUCCAUAUGAGAUGUCAACUAGAUUUAUGCUGUCACCGCCAAAAAACUUCUUGUCCCCGAGACCUUUCUCUUCUAAGACUCUCAACACUUCCGCCACUUCUUUCACUGCCUUCUCUAGCUCCUCUCCACUAGCUCGGAAAAGGGCACCAAAGGCAGCACCCUAAAUAAUGAAAGAAUUCAAUUUACAAGUCACAGAACAGAGAUAAAUGAAUCGAUAUUUGAAGGUGUUUAGCCUGAGGAGAAUAAAAAUAAAAGAAGGCAAGUUAUGAGAAAUUUUUAAUUAUUUAUUCCACUUUAAGAACAAGAAGAAGAAAAUGUUUUCUGGAAUCGAUUGUCUUUUUCCAGGACUGCUACCAGAUCAAAUUAAUCAUUGUGGGCCUCAUGAACAGUUACAAAAUAUAUACAAGAAGAUGGAUCUCGUUACCUUGGUAACUCCAUAUUGAAUCCAAAACCGAGCCAUGGCUCUCUCGUAAGGAUCUGUCGGUAGCAGUGGAUUCUCCGGCCAUGUUUCCUCGAUGUAUUCAAGGAUAACAAGAGACUCCGCAAUCGGCUUGCCACCAUGGACGAGUACAGGGAUUUUCUUGUAAACUGGGUUAUACUUCAAUAGCAGUUCACUUUUAUUGGUGAGGUCUUCUUCAAUAUACUCAAACUCCACGCCCUUUAGUUUCAGAGCCCAUAUAACUCUGUAACUAAAAGGGCUAGCCCAGAAACCAUGCAGCUUCACAUCUGCCAUUGUUGCAAUAAGAUCAGUAUGCAAGGUCUACUGCUGUGGCAAGUCUUCUUAUUGCCACUCUUGGCUUGGGCAAUAAGUUUUGGAUGCAAGAAACAUUUUUUUAUAUUACAAGUAUUGACUUGACUUGGUCCAUAACUUUGAUUCCGAUUUUUUUUUAAUUUAACUUGGACAUCGUAAUUUGCAAGUAAUCCGUACGAUGAAUUUUUAUUUAUUUUUUUGGGUCACGGUGUGCAGUUUAUUACUUUAUUUUCCUUGCAAGAAACACUGACUACUCUGUAGAAAGUUACAUUCUUUGAACGUAUUCAUGCCUAGCCUUCGGAUUAGGUGGUGGAACCUGACAUGCCUACCAAUAUCACGAUGUUAUUGAAUUAAGACAAGCAGAAAUAAACUAUCCGAUUUGACAACCUUUUUCUUUUGUUAACCUCUGCCAAAUAAUCGAUUAUCUGAAUUGAUCACUAAUUAACUACAAACUAAAUUUUUUAAUAUUAAUGGUUGUAAUUUAACUUGUAAAAUUUUGAAUUUGUUUUUUUUAAGUUUAUUAAGUGUUAUAAAUUUUAAGUUCAUUAAAAAUUUACUUUAUUAAUUUUAGAGUCUUUUAAAAUUAGUUGAAGCACUCGUAAGCUGACUCAAAUACUCACGAUUAACAAAAUAUAUAUAUAUAUAUAUAUAUGCUGAAAUUAUUUUGCACUUCUUUUUAAUUUAUUGGAAUUGAAGUAGUAUAUUUUUAAUAAUUUUUAUUUUGAUAUUUAAAUUUUUAUUUUGUGCAAUUUACUUUUUGCAAGUACAAAUUAACUUUUAAUUACAUAUUUUUAAAGGAAAAAAAAAAGUUGAAUUUAAAUAUAGCAAACUAAAGCAAAAAUCUCGGUGAUAUGGCGGCAGCAGUUAAAAAUUUAUUAAAAUAUUUAUCUUAAUUCUCUCAUGUUUUUUAGAUAUUGAUGACCAAUGUUUUAAAUUUAAAGACAAUACAUUUUGGUAUCUACUUUAUUUUCUCUUUUCUAUUGUUUUCUAUGGGAGGAGAGAGAAAGAGCUGUCGAAUUCCAACUUAGAUAUAGAAAGUUGUCGUUGUGGAAGAUUCUAACAGCCAAAACGAUUGAUUUUUAGGUCAAAAUAUUUCAUAUAAUGAGAGGGUUAUGUUUGGGUGUUUGUUUACCUUGAAAACACCUCAAGCAACAAAUUUAAGCUCAUGAAGAAUUUUAUUUUCUUGUGUGUUUUAGGUUUUGUGGUGGUUUAUUAGAUUUCUGGAGAUCAUGAAUUGGUUUAAUAAGAUUUCUAGAGUAUUUUCAAUAUGUUUUGAGUCAAAAUAAGUUAAAAAAGAGAUUUUGGAUGAAAAAACAAAGGAUCUCAUUUUUCUAGCUACCAUAGUGGUCGGAUUAUAUGUUUCACAGGUGAAACGUCUUUGUAUAUAUAUAUAAUUGAAACGGACAACACUUUAUUCACCUAGAGUCUUUUAAAAUUAGUUGAAGCACUCGUAAGCUGACUCAAAUACUCACGAUUAACAAAAUAUAUAUAUAUAUAUAUAUGCUGAAAUUAUUUUGCACUUCUUUUUAAUUUAUUGGAAUUGAAGUAGUAUAUUUUUAAUAAUUUUUAUUUUGAUAUUUAAAUUUUUAUUUUGUGCAAUUUACUUUUUGCAAGUACAAAUUAACUUUUAAUUACAUAUUUUUUAAAGGAAAAAAAAAGUUGAAUUUAAAUAUAGCAAACUAAAGCAAAAAUCUCGGGUGAUAUGGCGGCAGGUUAAAAAUUUCAUUAAAACAUUUAUCUUAAUUCUCUCAUGUUUUUUAGAUAUUAGAUGACCAAUGUUUUAAAUUUAAAGACAAUACAUUUUGGUAUCUAACUUUAUUUUUCUCUUUUCUAAUUGUUUUCUAUUGGGAGGAGAGAGAAAGAGCUGUCGAAUUCCAACUUAAAUAUAGAAAGUUGUCGUUGUGGAAGAUUCUAACAGCCAAAACGAUUGAUUUUUAGGUCAAAAUAUUUCAUAUAAUGAGAGGGUUAUGUUUGGGUGUUUGUUUACCUUGAAAACACCUCAAGCAACAAAUUUAAGCUCAUGAAGAAUUUUAUUUUCUUGUGUGUUUUAGGUUUUGUGGUGGUUUAUUAGAUUUCUGGAGAUCAUGAAUUGGUUUAAUAAGAUUUCUAGAGUAUUUUCAAUAUGUUUUGAGUCAAAAUAAGUUAAAAAAGAGAUUUUGGAUGAAAAAACAAAGGAUCUCAUUUUUCUAGCUACCAUAGUGGUCGGAUUAUAUGUUUCACAGGUGAAACGUCUUUGUAUAUAUAUAUAAUUGAAACGGACAACACUUUAUUCACCUAGAGUCUUUUAAAAUUAGUUGAAGCACUCGUAAGCUGACUCAAAUACUCACGAUUAACAAAAUAUAUAUAUAUAAUAUCUGAAAUUAUUUUGCACUUCUUUUAAUUUAUUGGAAUUGAAAGUAGUAUAUUUUUAAUAAUUUUUAUUUUGAUAUUUAAAUUUUUAUUUGUGCAAUUUACUUUAAGUACAAAUUAACUUAUACAUAUUUUUUAAAGGAAAAAAAAGUUGUUUAAUAUAGCAAACUAAAGCAAAAAUCUCGGUGAUAUAUCGGCAUUAAAAAUUUAAUUUAUCUUAAUUCUCUCAUGUUUUUUAGAUAUUAGAUGACCAAUGUUUUAAAUUUAAAGACAAUACAUUUUGGUAAUCAUAACUUUAUUUUCUCUAUAUUAUUGUUCAAGGAGAGAGAAAGAGCUGUCGAAUUCCAACUUAGAUAUAGAAAGUUGUCGUACAGCCAAACGAUUGAUUUUUAGUCAAUAAUAUAAUGAGGGGUUAUGUGGUGUUUGUUUACCUUGAAAACACUCAAGCAACAAAUUUAAGCUCAUGAAGAAUUUUAUUUUCUUGUGUGUUUUAGGUUUUGUGGUGGUUUAUUAGAUUUCUGGAGAUCAUGAAUUGGUUUAAUAAGAUUUCUAGAGUAUUUUCAAUAUGUUUUGAGUCAAAAUAAGUUAAAAAAGAGAUUUUGGAUGAAAAAACAAAGGAUCUCAUUUUUCUAGCUACCAUAGUGAUCGGAUUAUAUGUUUCACAAGUGAAACGUCUUUGUAUAUAUAUAUAAUUGAAACGGACAACACUUUAUUCACCUAGUUAAACUAUUUUGAAAAAUAAAGGCCUGAGUGCGGGUCGUUGCUUUAUUAGGCCAUGCACUAGGCCUGACCUUGUUCUUUUUAAAAAAAAAAUAAUUUUUAAAAAAAUAAUAAAUUAUUCGUGUAUAUUUUUUCAAAUAAAUUUUGGGUUUAUAUUUAAAAAGAUUGUGACUGUUUUAAAAUGAUAUUUGGUGUGUUUAAUUUUUAGAGAGAUAAGUAUGAUUCAUUCGUGAUUUUUUUCUUAAUUUUAUAUAAAUUAAGUUUGUUUUUUUUUAAUAUGAUUUUUUUGUAGGAUUUUUUAUACGUGUAGCCUUGCAUUGUUUUUUUAAUUAUUGUUUUUGUUUUACAAAUUUAUUUUGAUAAAGGAAUUCAUUAGAUAUAAUCACGUAAAUUACUCUUAUUGCAAUGUUAGAUAUCUUGAUUUUUAUUUUUAGCUUGGUUUUUUCAAUUUUAUUUUUGUCCAUUGUUGAUUAUUUUUUUUUCAUUGCUUUACAUAAUAGUUACUGGAUUAUUUAAUUAGAUGCAUGCUUAGGUUAUUUGAUUUACACUUAGGAGUUUUUUUAGUAUAAAAAAAAACGUUGAAGAACUCUGUAUAAAUUUUAUUUAUGUUUUGAUGUUUAUUCUUAUGAUUUUUAAUUUUUUUUCUUUGAAUUUUUUAUAGAAGUUUCAUUGUUUUUAGUUUCAUUACUCAAUCCAAGUUUAUAAUUUAUUAUUUUUUUUAUCUUUUUACUUUUGAUUUUUGUUCUUUUAUUAAUGUUUUUAUUCUCUUCAAUUUAGCUCUCAAAACUAAAAUCCGUUGUUUCCUUUUGAUUUAUUUUAUUGUAAUUUUAACACUUAUUGUUUUUAUUUUGGAUUUUUUGUGUUUUUUUUUUGUGAUAUAGUUUUUUUGGUUUUAUAACCCAGGUCAUGGUUUAAAAAGUUAGCAGUAAUUAACUUUUUUUUAUCUUAUUUGUUUAUAUUCAUAUUUUUUUAUAUUUUUUUCUAUAAAAUUAUCAUAUUAUCAUUUAAUUUUUAUCUUGUUAACAAAUAAAAUCAUUGAGAUGUUUUUGGAAUAUUGUGAAGAUAUAUUUUUAUAAUAUUGGUAAGUGUUUAUUUUUUGCAUUGAAUUGUUAUUUUUUUUGUUUUAUUUAUUGUGAAUAUCUUAUUUUUUAAUAAUAUUAUUUAAUUAACAAAGUUUAUUACACUCAUUCAAGCCAAUUUUUUAAAUAUUAUAUUUAUUUUUGUUUUGUUUUAUUUUAUUUUAUUUCAUAUUUUUUACACCAAAACAAAAUUGAUGGCGGUUUUAGUUUUGGUGCCCAGAUAACCCGCUGGUUGAAUGGACUUGGACUCAACCUGAAUAACUUCAUAUCUACCAUACUGAUAACUGAACUAUGACUUGUGUUCAACAAAUGAGGGCUUUAAAUUAUUCAUUGCAGAUUUUUUUUUCUUUUUUUUAUUGCAGUCUUUUCUUCCUGGUUGUCCAAAUAAAUGGAAAAUUAAAAAUUAUUGACUCCACAACACAAAAGGUCUUGCUUAGAUAACCCUGGUUAGAAGAAAAAUACAUCCAGCGUUCUCUUGGUCCAUUCCUGGAUAACACAAAGAUCAUGGCCUUCAUUAAUGAGUUUAAGAGUGUGUUUAUUUUUUUAAAAGUGAUUUUCAAGAAAUUAUUUUCAAAAAAAAUUUGUAUUUAUUUAUUAUUGAAAAAAUUAAUUAAUGAAAAACAUUUUUCAAUUAUAUAAAAAUUUAACUCGAUUUUCAGAAAAGUACUUUCAUUUUAUUUUGAAAGAAAAACACUUUUUUAAAUUGUAAAAUAUUUAAAAAUAUCAUAAUAUUUACUAAUUAUAUCAAAUAUGAUCGUAUCUUCAUUUAAUUACUAACCUAUAAUUAGUAUAUUUUGUAAAUUGAAAUUUUAGCUUUAGUACCUUUCUCAAAGACAAGUCUACUUCGUCUUUCAUGAUCUAGCCAUUAUGAGAUUGGCUUUCUCAAAAAACUGGUGCUGUACGGAACCAAAAGAUCACGAAGUAACGAUACUCAUGACACAAACAAUGGCAUGAAUGCAACUUCUUGACCCAUUUUCCAAUGUGGGUAUUCAUGUUUCUUGAUUUUGUGAAAUCAUAAAUGUCGCAACCCGGAAAAAGAUUUUUAUAUAAUUAUAAAGUUUAAGAGUAAUGAUCUAAAAUUAUGAAUACUAUAAAAUUUAUUAAUCUACGAGAGACUUGUUAUGUAAAACAAAGAUGCAUCACCCCCUCCCCUGGAAAACAGAUUUAUUGAACCUUGAGUGAAUUUGGAAAUAGCUCUAAUCUCAGGAUUACUGUCAGUUAAUGUUGAUGUAAACUAGAUGAACCCUCAUUAUGGUACUUCGGCUAAAUGUUUAUACGAAAUCCACAUACAAAUUCAUUAGCACUGUUAUAUCCAGCCGAUUUGUUUUCCGAGUGAUAUGGGCUCUGAAAAUGAAGGGCAUUCCAUACGAGUACAUAGAAGAAGAUGUUACCAACAAAGGUCCUCUGCUUCUGAAGAAGAACCCUGUUCUUAAGAAGAUCCCAGUGCUUCUCCAUGGCGAAAAACCAGUUUGCGAGUCCAUGAUUAUUGUCGAAUACAUCGAUGAGAUAUGGCCCCAAAAUCCCUUGUUGCCCAAUGACCCUUACGAGAGAGCUCCGGCUCGUUUCUGGGUCAAAUUUACCGACGAUAAGGUAAAGAGUACAUGCAUCAUUUUACAUAUAAUAUUACUAUGAAACCGAGUUCUGGGCUUUAAAAAGAAAUUGGUUUCUGCUGAUUUGGUUAGUUCAUGAUCGAUGAUGAAUCAUUAGGUUGACUUGCCGAGCAGUUCUGAUAAAAUUGAUUAAGGGAAAAAAAGUAAAUGGAAAGGAAUAUAAAAGAAAUACAACAGUGUUUACACACCAAAUUAACCGAAAUUAAUGCAAUAGCUGCAUCAACCAUUAUGGAGUAUUACAGUAGAAAAACAAACUCAACUGCAAGAGAAAAACCAUCCAUGGAAACGAAAAGGUGAGGCAUACAUGGAUUAUUUCGCAUCCAAAAGCAUAAUAUAGGCUACUUGUUCGUCUUUUUCUCCCUGACACUUUUCAUAUGGAGGAGCAUCUUAUCAUAGUCGGGAAUGUUUUCUUUAAUCAGAGGAACUUCAAUGAAAUUCUGGGCCCAAGCAUGCAAUCGAGGCAGUGUGCUUGGUUCAAGAACUUUCACACCCGCUGCUUCUUCAAUGGCUGCAAACCAAUAAGCGAAGAGUCCAUAUGAGAUGUCAACUAGAUUUAUGCUGUCACCGCCAAAAAACUUCUUGUCCCCGAGACCUUGCUCUUCUAAGACUCUCAACACUUCCGCCAUUUCUUUCACUGCCUUCUCUAGCUCCUCUCCACUAGCUCGGAAAAAGGCACCAAAGGCAGCACCCUAAAUUAUGAAAGAAUUGAAUUUACAAGUCACAGAACAGAGAUAAAUGAAUAGAUAUUUGAAGGUGUUUAGCCUGAGGAGAGUAAAAAUAAAGGAAGGCAAGUUAUGAGAAAUUUUUAAUUAUUAUUCCACUUUAAGAACAAGGAGAAGAAAAUGUUUUAUGGAAUCGAUUGUUUUUUUCCAGGACUGCUACCAGAUCAAAUUAAACAUUGUGGGCCUCAUGAACAGUUACAAAAUAUAUACAAGAAGAUGGAUCUCGUUACCUUGGUACCUCCAUAUUGAAUCCAAAACCGAGCCAUGGCUCUCUCGUAAGGAUCAGUCGGUAGCAGUGGAUUCUCCGGCCAUGUUUCCUCGAUGUAUUCAAGGAUAACAAGAGACUCCGCAAUCGGCUUGCCACCAUGGACGAGUACAGGGAUUUUCUUGUAAACUGGGUUAUACUUCAAUAGCAGUUCACUUUUAUUGGUGAGGUCUUCUUCAAUAUACUCAAACUCCACGCCCUUUAGUUUCAGAGCCCAUAUAAUUCUGUAACUAAAAGGGCUAGCCCAGAAACCAUGCAGCUUCACAUCUGCCAUCGUUCCAAUGAGAUCAGAAUGCAAGGUCUCCUGCUGUGCCGAGUCCUCUUAUAGCGUCUUUUGGCUUGGGCAACAAGUAUUGGAUGCAAGAAACAUUUUUUUAUAUUGCAAGUAUUGACUUGACUUGGUCCAUAACUUUGAUUCCGAUUUUUUUUUAAUUUAACUUGGACAUCGUAAUUUGCAAGUAAUCCGUACGAUGAUUUUUUUUUUUUUUUGGGUCACGGUAUGCAGUUUAUUACUUUAUUUUCCUUUCAAGAAACUCUGACUACUCUGUAGAAAGUCACAUUCUUUGAACGUAUUCAUGCCUAGCCUUCGGAUUAGGUGGUGGAACCUGACAUGCCUACCAAUAUCACGAUGUUAUUGAAUUAAGAAAAGCAGAAAUAAACUAUCCGAGUUGCAACCUUUUUCUUUUGUUAACCUCUGCCAAAUAAUCCAUCGACUAUCUGAUUGAUCACUAAUUAACUACAAACUAAAUUUUUUAAUAUUGAUGAUUUGUAGUUUAACUUGUAAAAUUUUGAAUUUGUUUUUUUAAAGUUUAUUUAAUGUUAUAAAUUUUGAAAUUACUAAAAAUUUAUCUUAUUAAUUUUAUAGUAUCAUGACAUUAGUUAAAACGCUUCUAAACAAACUUAAAUACUCACGGUUAUAUAUAUAUAUAUAUAUAUAUAUAUAUAUAUAUAUAUUAUCUUUCUAAUAUGCUGAAAUUAUUUGCACUUCUUUAUAAUUUAUUGGAAUUGAAGUAGUGUAUUUUUAAUAAUUUUUAGUUUGAUAUUUAAAUUUUUAUUUUGUGCAAUUUACUUUUCUCAAGUACAAAUUAACUUUUAAUUACAUAUUUUUUAAAGGAAAAAAAAAGUUGAAUUUAAAUAUAGCAAACUAAAGCAAAAAUAUAGAGUGAUAUGGCUACAGAUUAAAAAUUUUAUUAAAACAUUUAUUUUAAUUCUCUCAUGUUUUUUAGAUAUUAGAUGACCAAUGUUUUAAAUUUAAAGACAAUAUAUUUUGAUAUCUAACUUUAUUUUUCUCUUUUGUGUAGUUGUUUUCUACUGGGAGGAAAGAGAAAGAGCUGUCGAAUUCUAACUUAGAUAUAGAAAGUUGUCACUAUGGAAGAUUCUAAUAGCCAAAAUGAUUGAUUUUUAGGUCAAAAUAUUUCAUAUAAUGAGAGGGUUAUGUUUAGGUGUUUGUUUACCUUAAAAACACCUCAAGCAACAAAUUUAAGUUCAUGAAGAAUUUUAUUUUCUUGUGUUUUUAGGUUUUGUGGUGAUUUAUUAGGUUUCUGGAGAUCAUGAAUUAGUUUAAUUUAAUUUUUCUAGAGUAUUUUCAAUAUGUUUUGAGUCAAAAGAAGUUGAAAAGAAGAUUUUGGAUGAAAAAACAAAGGACCUUAUUUUUAUAGCCACCAUAGUGAUCCGAUUAUAUGUUUCACAGGUGAAACGUCUUUAUAUAUAUAUAAUUGAAACGGACAACAUGUUGUUCACCUAGUUAAACUCUUUUAAAAAAUAAAGGCCUGUGUGCGGGCCGUUGCUUUAUUAGGCCAUGUACUAGGCCUAACCUUGUUCUUUUUAAAAAGAAAAUUUAGUUUUUUAAAAAAUAAUAAAUUAUUUGCGUGUAUUUUUUCAAAUAAAUUUUGGGUUUAUAUUUUAAAAAGAUUGUGACCAUUUUAAAAUGAUAUUGGGUGUGUUAAAUUUUUUUUUAGAGAGAUGAGUAUGAUUCAUCCGUGAUUUUUUUUUCUAAAUUUUAUAUAAAUUAAGUUUGUUUUUUUUAAUAUGAUUUUUUAUAAGAUUUUUUUAUAUGUAUAGCCUUGCAUUGUUUUUUUUAAUUAUUAUUAAGUAAAUUUUAUGUGUGUGUCGAUUUCUAUUAUAAAAUUUAUGUGUUUUUGUUUUACAAAUUUAUUUUGAUAAAGGAAUUCAUUAGAUAUAAUCAAGUAAAUUACUCUUAUUGCAAUGUUAGAUAUCUUGAUUUUUAUUUUUAGCUUGGUUUUUUCAAUUUUAUUUUUGUCCAUUGUUGAUGAUUUUUUUUUCAUUGCUUUACAUAAUAGUUACUAGAUUAUUUAAUUAGAUACAUGCUUAGGUUAUUUGAUUUACACCUAGGAGUUUUUUUAGUAUAAAAAAACACAUUGAAGAACUCUGUAUACAUUUUAUUUAUGUUUUGAUGUUCAAGAUUUGAUGUUUAUUCUUAUGAUUUUUAAAUUUUUUUUCUUUGAAUUUUUUAUGGAAGUUUCAUUGUUUUUAGUUUUAUUAUUCAAUCAAAGUUUAUAAUGUAUUGUUUUUUUAUGUUUUUUUUUUAUCUUUUUACUUUUGAUUUUUGUUCUUUUAUUAAUGUUUCCAUUCUCUUCAAUUUAGCUCUCAAAACUAAAAUCUGUUGUUGCCUUUUGAUUUAUUUUAUUGUAAUUUUAACACUUAUUGUUUUUAUUUUGGAUUUUUUGUGUUUUUUUUUUUGUGAUAUAGUUUUUUUUGGUUUUAUAACCCGAGUCAUGGUUUAAAAAGUUAGCAGUAAUUAACUUUUUUUUAUCUUAUUUGUUUAUAUUCAUAUUUUUUAUAUUUUUUUCUAUAAAAUUAUCAUAUUCUCAUUUAAUUUUUAUUUUGUUAACAAAUAAAAUCAUUGAGAUGUUUUUGGAAUAUUGUGAAGAUAUAUUUUUAUAAUAUUGGUAAGUGUUUAAUUUUUGCAUUGAAUUGUUAUUUUUUUUGUUUUAUUUAUUGUCAAUAUCUUAUUUUUUAAUAAUAUUAUUAAAUUAAAAAAAUUUAUUAAACUCAUUCAAGCCAAUUUUUUAAAUAUUAUAUUUAUUUUUGUUUUGUUUUGUUUUGUUUUAUUUUAUUUUUUCAUAUUUUUGACACCAAAACAAAAUUGAUGGCGGUUUUAGUUUUGGUGCCCAGAUAACCCGCUGGCUGAAUGGGCUUGAACUCAACCCUAAUAACUUUAUAUCUACCAUAUUGAUAACUGAACUGUGACUUGUGUUCAACGAAUGAGGGCUUUAAAUUAUUCAUUACAGACUUUUUUUUUCUUUUUCUCUUUUUAUUGCAGACUUUUCUUCCUGGCUGUCCAAAUAAAUGGAAAAUUAAAAUUUAUCAACUCCACAACACAAAAGGUCUUGCUUAGAUAACCCUGGUUAGGAGAAAAAUACAUUUCAGCGUUCUCUUGGUCCAUUCCUGGAUAACACAAAGAUGAUGGCCUUCAUCAACGAGUCUAAGGGUGUGUUUAUUUUUUUAAAAGUUAUUUUUAAGAAAUUUUUUUUAAUUUUUUUGUAUUUAUUUGUUAUUAAAAAAGUUGGUGAAUGAAAAACACUUUCCGAUCAUAUAAAAAUUUAGCUAGAUUUUCAGAAAAGUAUUUUCAUUUUAUUUUGGAAGAAAAACACUUUUUAUAAGUUGUAAAAUAUUUAAAAAUAUCAUAUUAUUUACUGAUUAUAUCAAAUGUGAUCCAAUCUUCACUUAAUUACUAACCUAUAAUUAGUAUAUUUUGUAAAUUGAAAUUUUAGCUUUAGUACCUUUCUCAAAGACAAGACUACUUUUUUUAUUUAUUUACGUGGGUGUCCGGGCCAACUUGUGCGCACCACGACUAAUCUCACGGCCCACUGAACAUCCUACAAGCCCAGUGAGCAUAUAAAACACCACGGAGGUGACAUGCGUGCACAAUGAGACUUGAACCCUGGUGCAGAGGAAGGGAACAAGUCCCUUCUACUACUAGGCCAAGACCUCAAGUGCAUACAAGACUACUUCUUCAUGAUCUGGCCAUUAUGAGAUUGGCUUUCUCAAAAAACUGGUGUUGUACGGAACUAAAAGAUCACGAAUUAACGAUAUUCAUGAUACAAACAAUGGCAUGAAUGCAACUUCUUGAUCCAUUAUCCAAUGUGGGUAUUCAUGUUUCUUGAUUUUGUGAAAUCAUAAAUGUCGCAACCCGGAAAAAGAUUUUUAUAUAAUUAUAAAGUUUAAGAGUAAUGAUCUAAAAUUAUGAAUACUAUAAAAUUUAUUAAUCUACGAGAGACUUGUUAUGUAAAACAAAGAUGCAUCACCCCCUCCCCUGGAAAACAGAUUUAUUGAACCUUGAGUGAAUUUGGAAAUAGCUCUAAUCUCAGGAUUACUGUCAGUUAAUGUUGAUGUAAACUAGAUGAACCCUCAUUAUGGUACUUGGGCUAAAAGUUUAUACGAAAUCCACAUACAAAAUCAUUAGCACUGUUAUUCUAUUCUGGGUGUCCCAUUCAAAGCAGACCCCUCCCUGUCCAACCAAAACGCCCUCCUGGUUCUUCUGUUUACCUUUCUUGGCUGUCAAGAGGCGUGGCAAAGAAGAUUAGCAUUGAUACCGUCAUGCAUGGCGUAUAUCUAAACGGCAACUUCCAGGAGAUGAUAUGUAUGGUCAACAUUAUUAACAUUAAUAAUGCUUAUUUAACCCAGAAAAUCAUGAAGUAAAUCGCAAACCGUGAGAAAUUGCUGAGAAACUUCUACAGAAAAAGAAAGAACAUGCAUCGCAUUAAUUAUUGCAUUUCUUAUCUCCAUAGUCAAGUCUUCUUUCGACAGAGAAUUGAAGUGAAUAUGAUUAUGUAAGCAAAUAUAUCAAUAAUGGAGGAAGUAAACCUUCUUUUCGAGGUAUAUCCCUUUCAUUAACUAAAUUAUUUUGAAUUUGCUGACCCAUCACACAGAAGCAAAGGCAAAAGAAUAUUGAUGGUCGGAAGUCUGUUUACAUUGUAUUAAAAUAAUUUUUUUUUCUUUUAAAAAAAUAUAUUUAACUUUGGAUCAUCAAAAUAAUAUAAAAAUAUAAAAAAAUAAUUUUUUUAAAAGUACGUCUGAAAUGCAUUCGCGGCCGCCCUCGAUAGCAAAUGUGUACUGCCCACAGCCCAAGCAAGACUCUUUCAUUAAAAAUCAGCACUAUAAAUGACAAUGGCAGGUAAAGAACAGUCACCGUACAAAUCCCUUGGUCAUGGCGGAGGUAGUGAAGCUGCUCGGAGCAUUGUCCAGCCCAUUUGUUUUCCGAGUGAUAUGGGCUCUAAAAAUGAAGGGCAUUCCAUAUGAGUUCAUAGAAGAAGAUGUUACCAGCAAAAGUCCUCUGCUUCUGAAGAAGAACCCUGUUCUUAAGAAGAUCCCAGUGCUUCUCCAUGGCGAAAAACCAGUUUGCGAGUCCAUGAUUAUUGUCGAAUACAUUGAUGAGAUAUGGCCCCAAAAUCCCUUGUUGCCCAAUGACCCUUACGAGAGAGCUCUGGCUCGUUUCUGGGUCAAAUUUACCGGCGAUAAGGUAAAGAGUACAGGCAUCAUUUUACAUUACAUCAAAUAUUACUAUGAAACCGAGUUCUGGGCUUUAAAAAAAAACUGGUUUCUGCUGAUUUGGUUAGUUCAUGAUCAAUGAUGAAUCAUUAGGUUGACUUGCCGAGCUGUUCUGAUAAAAUUGAUUAACGGAAAGAAAGUAAAUGGAAAGGAAUAUAAAAGAAAUACAACAGUGUUUACACACCAAACCGAAAUUAAUGCAAUAGCUGCAUCAACCAUUAUGGAGUGUAUUACAGUAGAAAAACAAGCUCAACUACAAGAGAAAAACCAUCCAUGGAAACGAAAAGGCGAGGCAUACAUGGAAUAUUUCGCAUCCAAAAGCAUAAUCUAGGCUACUUGUUCAUCAUUUUCUCCCUGACACUUUUCAUAUGGAGGAGCAUCUUAUCAUUGUCAGGAAUGUUUUCUUUAAUCAGAGGAACUUCAAGGAAAUUCUGGGCCCAAGCAUGCAAUCGAGGCAGUGUGCUUGGUUCAAGAACUUUCACACCCGCUAGUUCUUCAAUGGCUGCAAACCAAUAAGCGAAGAGUCCAUAUGAGAUGUCAACUAGAUUUAUGCUGUCACCGCCAAAAAACUUCUUGUCCCCGAGACCUUGCUCUUC
This 13983-nucleotide long non-coding RNA is filed under the name Populus tremula. Its description in RNAcentral is "long non-coding RNA (PTRE_LNC002821)". Lineage: Eukaryota; Viridiplantae; Streptophyta; Magnoliopsida; Malpighiales; Salicaceae. The record is from RNAcentral.